AUUGAACGCUGGCGGCAGGCCUAACACAUGCAAGUCGAACGGUAACAGGAAGCAGCUUGCUGCUUUGCUGACGAGUGGCGGACGGGUGAGUAAUGUCUGGGAAACUGCCCGAUGGAGGGGGAUAACUACUGGAAACGGUAGCUAAUACCGCAUAACGUCGCAAGACCAAAGAGGGGGACCUUAGGGCCUCUUGCCAUCGGAUGUGCCCAGAUGGGAUUAGCUAGUAGGUGGGGUAACGGCUCACCUAGGCGACGAUCCCUAGCUGGUCUGAGAGGAUGACCAGCCACACUGGAACUGAGACACGGUCCAGACUCCUACGGGAGGCAGCAGUGGGGAAUAUUGCACAGUGGGCGCAAGCCUGAUGCAGCCAUGCCGCGUGUAUGAAGAAGGCCUUCGGGUUGUAAAGUACUUUCAGCGGGGAGGAAGGGAGUAAAGUUAAGACCUUUGCUCAUUGACGUUACCCGCAGAAGAAGCACCGGCUAACUCCGU
Molecule: ribosomal RNA, 489 nt
Filed under: uncultured bacterium
Lineage: Bacteria
Description: partial 16S ribosomal RNA
Rfam family: Bacterial small subunit ribosomal RNA
Source: RNAcentral